AUACUUCUCUUUACUAAGCAGUGAGAACAAACUCGAGGUUUUCCGUAACAUCGACAGUUACCUUUAAUGUCUUGUUUUUUCGAGCCUGCUAAUAUAAAAUAACAUUAAAUAUCCGAUGAAUCAUUAGAAGAAUUAGUAACAUUGUUUGGUACAACUUGGGCAAGACCAAAAUCAACCAAAACAUACCUAAAAUUAUAUUAAGGAAUACUUUGAAUGAAACAUAAGUGAUUAAUCAUUA
Agrilus planipennis (emerald ash borer) is the source of this 238-nucleotide long non-coding RNA. RefSeq lists it as uncharacterized. The transcript has 2 exons. Lineage: Eukaryota; Metazoa; Arthropoda; Insecta; Coleoptera; Buprestidae. The record is from RefSeq and is a predicted model, not a curated record.